AUUGAACGCCGGCGGCAUGCCUUACACAUGCAAGUCGAACGGCAGCGGACCUUCGGGUGCCGGCGAGUGGCGAACGGGUGAGUAAUGCAUCGGAACGUGCCAUUGAGUGGGGGAUAACGUAGCGAAAGUUACGCUAAUACCGCAUAUUCUGUGAGCAGAAAAGCAGGGGACCGCAAGGCCUUGCGCUCUUUGAGCGGCCGAUGUCAGAUUAGCUAGUUGGUGAGGUAAAGGCUUACCAAGGCGACGAUCUGUAGCGGGUCUGAGAGGAUGAUCCGCCACACUGGAACUGAGACACGGUCCAGACUCCUACGGGAGGCAGCAGUGGGGAAUUUUGGACAAUGGGCGCAAGCCUGAUCCAGCCAUGCCGCGUGAGUGAAGAAGGCCUUCGGGUUGUAAAGCUCUUUCGGCCGGGAAGAAAUCGCAUGGGUUAAUACCCUGUGUGGAUGACGGUACCGGAAUAAGAAGCACCGGCUAACUACGUG
RNAcentral lists this ribosomal RNA (482 nucleotides) under uncultured bacterium. RNAcentral describes it as "bacterial SSU rRNA". It matches the Rfam family "Bacterial small subunit ribosomal RNA", at positions 30 to 507 of the family's 1533-position model. The record is from RNAcentral.